This 564-nucleotide ribosomal RNA is filed under the name uncultured bacterium. RNAcentral's name for it is "partial 16S ribosomal RNA". It matches the Rfam family "Bacterial small subunit ribosomal RNA", at positions 355 to 912 of the family's 1533-position model. The record is from RNAcentral.
UGGGGAAUUUUGGACAAUGGGCGAAAGCCUGAUCCAGCAAUGCCGCGUGUGUGAAGAAGGCCUUCGGGUUGUAAAGCACUUUUGUCCGGAAAGAAAUCCUUGGCUCUAAUACAGUCGGGGGAUGACGGUACCGGAAGAAUAAGCGCCGGCUAACUACGUGCCAGCAGCCGCGGUAAUACGUAGGGUGCAAGCGUUAAUCGGAAUUACUGGGCGUAAAGCGUGCGCAGGCGGUUUGCUAAGACCGAUGUGAAAUCCCCGGGCUCAACCUGGGAACUGCAUUGGUGACUGGCAGGCUAGAGUAUGGCAGAGGGGGGUAGAAUUCCACGUGUAGCAGUGAAAUGCGUAGAGAUGUGGAGGAAUACCGAUGGCGAAGGCAGCCCCCUGGGCCAAUACUGACGCUCAUGCACGAAAGCGUGGGGAGCAAACAGGAUUAGAUACCCUGGUAGUCCACGCCCUAAACGAUGUCAACUAGUUGUUGGGGAUUCAUUUCCUUAGUAACGUAGCUAACGCGUGAAGUUGACCGCCUGGGGAGUACGGUCGCAAGAUUAAAACUCAAAGGAAUUG